This is a non-coding RNA of Vicugna pacos (alpaca), 1630 nucleotides long. Lineage: Eukaryota; Metazoa; Chordata; Mammalia; Artiodactyla; Camelidae. The record is from RefSeq and is a predicted model, not a curated record.
AGCAAUCUCGGGAGCAAUUUUCCUCGCCUAGAACACCGCCCUCGGGAAGCUGGCGGGGAUCGGCUGCGGUGUGGCGCCAGGUGAAGGACAGCCCUCGAGUCCCAGCUUCGGAGCUGGGUGGUGAGCCAGAGAGAAAUGUGCCCGCUGAGCAGUCAUCGCCGGCCUGUAAUGGACGCUGAACAAAAGAGAGGCAGGCAUCAGCAUCGCUUUGCUGUGCGGGCUUUCCAUUUGGCUAAGGAGCGUGAAGGACGCCGGAAACAGAGCUCCGGGACUUUCGGUGCAGACGGCCGCUCGGAGCCGGGCAGUCUUUGUCUCCAACGAGAUUUCUUUUCACAAUCGCGGCUCUGCCUGGGGGGCGGGGUGCUGAAUCCAAGGCCACAGUUUCUCCCUCCUGCUAAAGAGAAGGAAGAGGGCAGGGCUGUCUUGUGCUGGAGCUGGGGACCCAAGCGCACUUCCACGGAGGAGUCUGAAGUCAGAUCUUAGGAAGGACUUCCAGGCCAGAAGGAUAGCCCUUACUCUGGAUUUUGAUUAGCAGCUUUUCAAUGAAACCCAGAAAGCUGUUGUUUGGGAUAAAUUUGAAGAUUCUUAGGCUGGAGGGUCUAAGAAUGAUCGGAAGAUUGGGACAGGGUACAUCCCCCACAGGGUUGUGUUUCCUGGCUCCCAAAUGGCUGUGCCUUUCAGCCACUCAGCUGCACCCCAUGCUGUGCCAUUCAUUCACUGAUUGUGUUUAAAAUGGGGCUCCACCAGUGUGAAGCUGGGUGUGGUAUUAACCUCUCAGACUCCAUUGCCUCAUCCCUAAAAUGGGCUUGAUAAUGUCUUCCUCACAGGCGGAGGGACAACAGUGAGUUAAUAUAUGUAAAACAGCCAGCAUACAUGGCCACUGCAUCGGACAGGGUGCCUUCAGCUGCAAGGAAUUGAAGACCCCGCUAAAAGUGUCUUCACAAAAGGGGGCUAUGUUUCAGAAGAGAACUCUUGAGGCAGGCUCAUUCCCAGAGCUGGAGGGUCUAACAUCUAUCUCUCUGCUCCACUAUCCUCGGCUUGUUUGGGGGUGACACGCCUCAUGGUCUACAGACAACUAAAGCCGUUCCAGGCAUCACAUGUUCAGUUUAAAGAAAUUGACGCCUCCUGCUCUAGUGGAUUUUACUUCCGGUCCCAUUGUCUAGUACAGAGUCAUGUGACUGUGCUCCACCAAUCUUUGGUAAGGGAUAUGAGACCAUCAUGGUUGGCUUAGAUCAAGCAUAAUUCACCAUCCCCACAGGACUGGGAGGGAGUCCUCUUCCCUGAUCACCCUGGAGGGCAAACGCAAGAACAAAAUUUGAGCCUGGCCAUCGAGGAAGAUGCAAAGAACUUGAGGGCACAGAAGGAGAGAACAGUUCCUUGGAACUGAGCGAGCGAGUGUAAUUAUGUGCAUUGCUGGAGUUCCAGGUCUUUCCUCCAGAGGACAUCUCCCCCCAAAGUUGCUGACGUCUGGUCCUUACGGGAUUUCGGGAGGUUGGAGCAAGAUGCAUUUGGAAAAUUCUCCUGGGAGAAGCAGUUUUCAGCCUGUAGCACAGAUACCCCUGGCCUCGCCUCCUCUGACCUCUCAUCCCCAGCCCCAUCAAAGCUGCAGGAAACAAAAGGAGACAACCAU